GUCUUCGCGAGCGAAGAUCCGGGGAAGGUCUUUACACCUUCCAGCCUGCGCAUUGGAUUUUUUAGGUGAGACACAGUGUGCGCGGAACUGAGCCCACCCUUUAAUCCUAAGGUUCAUCUGCCGGGGCCAAGCGAGCUUGGACGGUGGCAACGAGGUCCUUAGGACGUAGAUGGAUUGCCU
Molecule: long non-coding RNA, 180 nt
Organism: Myiozetetes cayanensis
Lineage: Eukaryota; Metazoa; Chordata; Aves; Passeriformes; Tyrannidae
Exons: 3
Source: RefSeq, a predicted model, not a curated record